Long non-coding RNA from Thalassophryne amazonica, 194 nucleotides. RefSeq lists it as uncharacterized. NCBI's taxonomy places the organism in Eukaryota, Metazoa, Chordata, Actinopteri, Batrachoidiformes, Batrachoididae. The record is from RefSeq and is a predicted model, not a curated record. The transcript has 3 exons.
UCCACUCAGUUUGAUUAACUCAGUUUAUGUAGUAAUGUGUCAAAUGUGCGUCAGUGCGUCGGUCAUGCUUUUUAUUAAUCCCACGUUGUAUAGACCUUAUUUCUAGCAUGAAAAACUUUCAUUUACUGCUAAGAGGUUGAAACAUUCAGAUUCACUGGUCGUCCGGAAGGGUUCUGGGAAUUACUGCCGUUCGC